UUUUCUGCCACCGAAUACAUUAGCAUGGGAUAAUGGAAUAGGACCCUGUCCUCCUAUUUUCAGUUGGUUUUGGCAGCGCGAGGACUAGGGUAAUGAUUAAUAGGGAUAGUUGGGGGCAUUAAUAUUUAAUUGUCAGAGGUGAAAUUCUUGGAUUUAUGAAAGAUUAACUUCUGCGAAAGCAUCUGCCAAGGAUGUUUUCAUUAAUCAAGAACGAAAGUUAGGGGAUCGAAGACGAUCAGAUACCGUCGUAGUCUUAACCAUAAACGAUGCCGACCAGCGAUUAGGAGACGUUGAAUACAAAACACCACCAUCGGCGCGGUCGUCCUUGGCGUCGGUCCUUCACGGGGCCGGCGCGAGGGCGGCUUAGCCCGGUGGCACCGGUGAAUGACUCCCCUAGCAGCUUGUGAGA
This 409-nucleotide ribosomal RNA is filed under the name Acanthamoeba sp. CHI7506. RNAcentral describes it as "SSU rRNA". It matches the Rfam family "Eukaryotic small subunit ribosomal RNA", at positions 785 to 1095 of the family's 1831-position model. Lineage: Eukaryota; Discosea; Longamoebia; Acanthamoebidae. The record is from RNAcentral.